AAAAGCUUUAAAAUAAGCAAAUAAAAAAAUGGGGUCACCGACCUCGUUUUCGAUUUAAAACGCCAUCUUUUUCACGGAAUUUGGAAAUUGGGACUUCUAGUCAAUAGCAGUGUAAUAUUUUUUUAAAAGUCCGUAUCCAAUAAAAACUUGUCUGUUUUGUUAACCUAGUUGUUAAUACAAACUAUUUUAAUAAUAUCACCCUUUACUGAAUGGAAAAUAAUAAUGAUAAGUCGCUAUAAUAGUUUUCCCGCUUUUUUUUAUUGUGAAAUACCUAUAAAAAAAUAAGUUUAAAAAAAAUUGACCAAUAAUUUCUCCAUGAGUCUUCAAUAGAAUAUGCGUUGUUUAUAUCUAAACAAAAUAAGGAAAUAAAAAGAUGGGGUCACCGUAAUGGAAAAAGAGAUAUUUCAAAAAAGGGGUUAACAAUUUGAAUUGGCGGGAACACAUUGCGCCAAUUCUAAAAACAACGUCGAAAGACGUUCGGCCGUUUUAGGCUAUAUUCUCACAAAUUAGAGACAACCCAGUUCUCGUUAUUUGCUGUUUUGUUGUUUGUUUGUUUUAAACUACGAUAAAUUCACAGUAAUCUACACAUGAUAGUACUUAGUUUUCAGUCAGUAUCACAGACACGUAAUAUAAAUGCGGUGGUUGGAAAACAAUGCGUUGUACAAAAGUACACACGAAUGCUUCUGUGAACAUUUCAUUUCAGGUUAUUCAUAGUGCUUACGUGUUGAACAGAAAUUCUUUUUAAAAUAGUGAAGACAUUUUAUAUAAUAUCAUUGUUCAAUCAAAGUACAUCUGAAAGACAAGACAGAAUUUUGCUUCCGGUAUCAUGAAUUUUAAUUUCGUUUAAGAAUGUUGUUCCUUUUUAUUUUGAUGAUAAUUACUUAAAAUCAUUAGAAAUCUAAGACUCCGUUUCCAAUAACAAUAAAGAUCGAUCAUUUCUGAGAUCGCCGAUCUUUAGUAUUGCAAAAAUGAGAAAGAUCGAUCUUCAAUCGGACGUAAACAUUCCAUCCCCAGACGUAGUUUUAAAAGAACGAUUUUUUUAUGAACCGAUUUUUCUUCAAGUGAAAACGCUUUAGAUACAUCGCGAUCGACUUUUCAAUCAAUCAAUCGAUAUAAAAUUCCAAGUGUUUUAUGUAGAUAUGAAAAUAAAUCUGCGCAUGGUCAGUUUAAAAAUGUUUUCAGUGUUUAUUCUCAAAUGAUUUGACAAAACGUGCCAUGGAGAUAAUAAAAACCAAAUUAAUAUAUUCGACGUUUUUUGCGUCAUUCUUCUGAAAAUAUAUUAAUAAAAAAAGAAAAUGUGGUAUGAUUGCAAAUAACACAAUGCUCCACAAAUGACCAAUUGACACUGGAAAUUAUUAACUAUGGGUCACCGUACUGCCUACAACAAUGAGCAAAUCCCAUACCGCAUACACAACUAUAAAAGGUCCCGAAAGGACAAAUGUAACACAAUUCAAACUAGAAAAUAAUAAAAAAAAAAUAAUUAAUGAAAAACAAAUGUGUGACUCUUUUGCAAACAACAACCACUUUAAAUUACAUACUCCUGAGUUGAGACAGGACCCGUUACAGCGCUCGACUGAUACCGUUACUUAUUCGUUCCUUAUACGUUGAAACACAUUGCACCUAUUACGAAACAAAUCUUUUCAAUUGUUUUCUUGUCUCUGGUGUUAGCUAUAGGUUCUUAAAAGUGAAAUAUAUACCUAUUAGCGCGUAUGUUCCAGUUUUAGCGUUAGACCGAUGACCUGCUACUUAUUCGCUUACAAUAUGCUUGUUAUAGGUCGCACCUUUUUUGUUCUUGUCUCUGAUGCUAUAUAUUGGUUCUAAGAGAUAAAAAUAACCCUAUUCUAAGGCGUAAAUACUCGUUUCAGUGCUCGACUGAUGCCCUGUUACUUAUUCGUUCCAUAUUCUCUUACUAUACGUGUGAUAUUCGGUGCACCUUUUUAAAAC
This 1944-nucleotide long non-coding RNA is filed under the name Mytilus galloprovincialis (Mediterranean mussel). Lineage: Eukaryota; Metazoa; Mollusca; Bivalvia; Mytilida; Mytilidae. The record is from RNAcentral.